GCGCGGACGGAGAGGGUGCGGGGGGCGUGGCCGGAAUCACGGGGCGGAAAGGGCGGGUAGGGGGCCACCGUAAGGCCGCGGGGAAGGUUCGGGGCUCGACCCCGGUUCGGCGGCGGGGACGGGGGGGCUUGGGUACCGUAGAGGCAGAGGGAAUUCCGGGUGUAGCGGUGGAAUGCGUAGAGAUCCGGAAGAACACCAGUGGCGAAGGCGGUCUGCUGGGCGGUGAGACCUUUGGUCUCUUCAACCGACACUGAGGCGCGACAGCGUGGGGAGCAAACAGGAUUAGAUACCCCAGUAGUC
Molecule: ribosomal RNA, 300 nt
Filed under: uncultured Streptomyces sp.
Lineage: Bacteria; Bacillati; Actinomycetota; Actinomycetes; Kitasatosporales; Streptomycetaceae
Description: bacterial SSU rRNA
Rfam family: Bacterial small subunit ribosomal RNA (bases 33-300)
Source: RNAcentral